Non-coding RNA from Oryza brachyantha (malo sina), 124 nucleotides. NCBI's taxonomy places the organism in Eukaryota, Viridiplantae, Streptophyta, Magnoliopsida, Poales, Poaceae. The record is from Rfam.
GUGAUAAGAGCCACUCGGACUAGCCAAGGAGACUGCCCAUGAACCAGCUCAAGGCCCAUUUCUGAAGCUUUUACACAGGGACACAGGCAAGUCAUCCUUGGCUACCAGAGCUACACUCUCAUCA